This 334-nucleotide ribosomal RNA is filed under the name uncultured Methylobacterium sp. Its description in RNAcentral is "bacterial SSU rRNA". It matches the Rfam family "Bacterial small subunit ribosomal RNA", at positions 1 to 359 of the family's 1533-position model. Lineage: Bacteria; Pseudomonadati; Pseudomonadota; Alphaproteobacteria; Hyphomicrobiales; Methylobacteriaceae. The record is from RNAcentral.
UUCGCCCUUAGAGUUUGAUCCUGGCUCAGAGCGAACGCUGGCGGCAGGCUUAACACAUGCAAGUCGAACGGGCUUCUUCGGAAGUCAGUGGCAGACGGGUGAGUAACACGUGGGAACGUGCCCUUCGGUUCGGAAUAACUCAGGGAAACUUGAGCUAAUACCGGAUACGCCCUUAUGGGGAAAGGUUUACUGCCGAAGGAUCGGCCAGCGUCUGAUUAGCUUGUUGGUGGGGUAACGGCCUACCAAGGCGACGAUCAGUAGCUGGUCUGAGAGGAUGAUCAGCCACACUGGGACUGAGACACGGCCCAGACUCCUACGGGAGGCAGCAGAAGGG